This 534-nucleotide ribosomal RNA is filed under the name uncultured bacterium. Its description in RNAcentral is "bacterial SSU rRNA". It matches the Rfam family "Bacterial small subunit ribosomal RNA", at positions 777 to 1315 of the family's 1533-position model. The record is from RNAcentral.
AAUAGAUACCCAGGUAGUCCACGCCCUAAACGAUGUCAACUAGCUGUUGGGGCCUUCGGGCCUUAGUAGCGCAGCUAACGCGUGAAGUUGACCGCCUGGGGAGUACGGUCGCAAGAUUAAAACUCAAAGGAAUUGACGGGGACCCGCACAAGCGGUGGAUGAUGUGGAUUAAUUCGAUGCAACGCGAAAAACCUUACCUACCCUUGACAUGUCUGGAAUGCCGAAGAGAUUUGGCAGUGCUCGCAAGAGAACCGGAACACAGGUGCUGCAUGGCUGUCGUCAGCUCGUGUCGUGAGAUGUUGGGUUAAGUCCCGCAACGAGCGCAACCCUUGUCAUUAGUUGCUACGAAAGGGCACUCUAAUGAGACUGCCGGUGACAAACCGGAGGAAGGUGGGGAUGACGUCAAGUCCUCAUGGCCCUUAUGGGUAGGGCUUCACACGUCAUACAAUGGUCGGGACAGAGGGUCGCCAACCCGGCGAGGGGGAGCCAAUCCCAGAAACCCGAUCGUAGUCCGGAUUGCAGGCUGCAACUCGU